GGCCUCGUGGCCCAAUGGCAAGGCGUCUGACUACGAGACAGAGUCAAUCAAUCCACGAUUGACUGACUCUUCACGAUAAUCAGGAGAUUCUGGGUUCGACCCCCAGCGAGGUCA
This is a non-coding RNA of Xylaria cubensis, 114 nucleotides long. NCBI's taxonomy places the organism in Eukaryota, Fungi, Ascomycota, Sordariomycetes, Xylariales, Xylariaceae. The record is from the annotation of a GenBank genome assembly.